UGGGGAAUAUUGGACAAUGGGGGCAACCCUGAUCCAGCCAUGCCGCGUGAGUGAUGAAGGCCUUCGGGUUGUAAAGCUCUUUUGGCGGGGACGAUGAUGACGGUACCCGCAGAAUAAGCCCCGGCUAACUUCGUGCCAGCAGCCGCGGUAAGACGAAGGGGGCUAGCGUUGUUCGGAAUUACUGGGCGUAAAGCGAGUGUAGGCGGUUGCCGUAGUCAGGUGUGAAAGCCUUGAGCUCAACUCAAGAAAUGCACUUGAUACUGGGUGACUAGAGGACCGGAGAGGAUAGUGGAAUUCCCAGUGUAGUGGCGAAAUACGUAGAGAUUGGGAAGAACACCAGUGGCGAAGGCGGCUAUCUGGACGGUUACUGACGCUAAGACUCGAAAGCGUGGGGAGCAAACAGGAUUAGAUACCCUGGUAGUCCACGCCGUAAACGAUGGGUGCUAGACGUUGGCGAGCUUGCUCGUCAGUGUCGCAGCUAACGCGUUAAGCACCCCCGCCUGGGGAGUACGG
Molecule: ribosomal RNA, 513 nt
Filed under: uncultured bacterium
Lineage: Bacteria
Description: partial 16S ribosomal RNA
Rfam family: Bacterial small subunit ribosomal RNA
Source: RNAcentral